GCAUUGGUGGUUUAGUGGUAGAAUUCUCGCCUCCCACACAGGAGACCCGGGACCGAUUCCCGGCCAACGCA
Non-coding RNA from Danio rerio (zebrafish), 71 nucleotides. Lineage: Eukaryota; Metazoa; Chordata; Actinopteri; Cypriniformes; Danionidae. The record is from Rfam.